This 227-nucleotide long non-coding RNA is filed under the name Nicotiana benthamiana. RNAcentral describes it as "long non-coding RNA (NBEN_LNC029840)". Lineage: Eukaryota; Viridiplantae; Streptophyta; Magnoliopsida; Solanales; Solanaceae. The record is from RNAcentral.
UUGUCAACCCCAUCUUUUCCUACAAAAAGAAAACCCAAUUCUUUCUCCUGAAAAUUGAACAAGUUACAUCAUUAGCCGCCGUUGUGUACUGUUGUCGAUCAACCACCACUGUUUUUUUAUUACUACUAAAACUUUAAUACUCUGUCAUUUUGUUUAAUUAUACGGAGGAAUAAUUUCAGCUUGCUCUUAUACUCCGUAGUUAGUUGGCCACAUUAAAAAAUAAUGUU